UAUAAAGUUAUUUUUUAAGCAUUAAAAGGAUGUCUAAGCAUUAAAAUACACAAAUGAACGUUUGUAAACGAAAUAUUAAGUUAAGCUUAUAAAAUAGCUAGGAUACGUAAAUUUUCAUAAACAGGAAACUGAAUUAACAAAAUUUUAAUUUACUUUUUAAUAAGUAAUAAAUUUAGUGAAUUGAAUCAUCUAAUUAACUAAAAAAAAAAUCAAUCGAGAUAUUGUUAUUAGUGGCGAACGAAUACAAUAAAAGACUUAAAAAUUAGUUUAAUUUUGUUUAAUUAACAUUUAAAGUGUAGCCAUAGAAGGAGGAAUUGUAAGCCCUGUAAAACAUAAAUUAUUUUAAUUUUUUAUUAGUAAGGCGGUACUAGUCAUGUGGUGCUUGAAUUAUGGGGUCCCAUCCUCAAAGUCUUAAAAUUUUUAAUGUUUGAUAGAAAAAGAGUACCGUGAGGGAAAGAUGAAAAAGAGUCUGUGGAUUUGAAAAAGAACCUGAAAUUUAUUGCUAACAUUCAGUUGAAGCUUAUUAAUAUUAAAGUGACAAUUUACCUCUUGUAUAAGGGACCAACAACUUUAUUUUAAUAGCGAGCUUAAUUAAAAUUAUGUAGGCGAAAAGAAAUUGAAUUUAAAAAUGUUUAUUAGUUAUUUAAAUAAUACCCGAAACUGAAGUGAUCUAGUCAUGAACAGGUUGAAUUUAACGCGGUAACGCUUAUUGAAGGACCGAACCCGUGUAUGUGGCAAAAUACUGGGAUGAUUUGUGAUUUGGAGUGAAAGGCUAAUCAAACUCAGAUAUAGCUGGUUUUCUGCGAAAUCUAUUUAAGUAGAGCGUUUAAAAUAAACUUUAUUUUGGGGUAGAGCUCUCGUUAAAUAAUGGAAAUGAAAAUUUUAUAAAGUUUAAUGAAACUUCGAAUACAAAUUAAAAGAUUUUAAGCAGCCAGACUGUGGGUGCUAAGAUCCAUAGUCAAGAGGGAAACAGCCCAGAUUAUUUGAUAAGGCCUCUAAAAAUAAUUAAGUGCAAAAAUUGUAAAAAAAUUAAAACAAUCUGAAGAUAGGCUUGGAAGCAGCCAUUCUUUAAAGAAAGCGUAAUAGCUAACUGGUUUAGAUUUUUUGCAUUAGUAAUGUAAAGAGACUAAAAUUAUUUGCCGAAGCAAUAAAUUUAAAUCUAAAUUUAAAUGGUAGCAGAACAUUUUGUAUAUUUUAGAAGACUUAUAUUUUUAUAGGUUGGAGAAAUCAAAACUGAUAAUGUUGGUAUGAGUAACUAGAAACAGCGUUAAAAUCGUUGUCGCCUUAAAUUCAAGGUUUCCAAAGUAAAGUUAAUCUUCUUUGGUCUAUUUGUUAAUCGGUCUCUAAGAAAAAUACGAAAGUUAGAUUUAAUGAGUUUUAAAGGUAAUUUAUUAGUCCUAUUUUUAAAUAAAGUGACAAAACAGGUAUAUUAUUUUUAUUAACUGGUUUAAAUAAAAGUUUUAAAAUGUUUUCAAGAAAUAGCUUUAUUUAUUUUAAAACCGUACCCUAAACCGACACAGGUGAAUUUAUUUAGUAAAUUAAGGCGUUUGAGAAAACUGUAUUGAAGGAACUCGGCAAAAUGACUCUGUAACAUUUGGAUAAAGAGUAACAUUAAUAUUGGUGAGAACCAUUUAUUGUUGGCACAAAAUCGGGGACAGCGACUGGUUAUUAAAACCACAGGUUUCUGCUAAAUUGUAAAAAGAUGUAUAGAAACUGACGCCUGCCCAGUGCUGUAAGAUUAAUAAAAAGGGUUUUUUAGCUCCCAAAAUAAUUCUCAGUAAACGGCGGCUGUAACUCUGACGGUCCUAAGGUAGCGAAAUUCCUUGGCAUUUAAUUGGUGUCCUGCACGAAUGGCGUAACGACUGUCCCACUGUCUCCAAUACAGACUCAGUGAAAUUGAACUUUCUGUGAAGAUGCAGAAAAUUUGCGGCUAGACGGAAAGACCCCGUGCACCUUUACUAUUUUUAUAUAUUGUGUUAAAAUAUUUGGUAAGUAGAAUAAGUGGGAAAUUGUUUAUAAUUAUUUAUUUUUGUAAAUUAAAAAAAUUUUAGUGAAAUACCACUUUCAAAAUUUUUUAAUACUCAUUAUUAAGACAUUGUAUAAUAGUUAGUUUGACUGGGGCGGUGGCCUCCUAAAAAGUACCGGAGGCGCACAAAGGUAAAUUUAUAUUAAAAUAUUUUAAUAUAAAAGUGUAAUAGCAGUAAAUUUGCUUGACUGUUAGAUUUACAAAUCAAUCAGGGACGUAAGUCGGUUAUAGUGAUCCGGUGGUUUUGAAUGGAAAAAGCCAUCGCUCAACGAAUAAAAUGGUACGCCGGGGAUAACAGGCCACUUAUUUCUUAGAGAUCCUAUCGACGAAAUAAUGGGGCACCUCGAUGUUGGAUUAUCGCAUCCUGAAACUGCAAAUGGUUUCAAGGGUUUGGCUGUUCGCCAAGGAAGGCGGUACAUGAUCUGAGUUUAGAACGUCGUGAGACAGUUUGGUCCCUAUCUACCGUAAAUGUAAAAAAUUGAUAGGUUUAAACCUUAGUACGAGAGGACCAGGAAAAGUGAAUCUCUGGUGUAUCGAUUGUUAUACCAAUAGCACAGUCGAGUAGCUAAAUUCAUAUUAGAUAAUUACUGAAAGCAUCUAAGUAAGAAACUAAUCUUAAAACCAAUUUUUUAAAAAGAUGUAAAAGAUUAUUACAUAAAUAGGCUUAGAGUGUAAAUGUUGUAAAAUUUUUAGCUAAUAAGUACUAAAAACUCUAAAAACUUUUUUAAUAGUUAUUG
This 2763-nucleotide ribosomal RNA is filed under the name Asterionella formosa. Its description in RNAcentral is "bacterial LSU rRNA". It matches the Rfam family "Bacterial large subunit ribosomal RNA". Lineage: Eukaryota; Bacillariophyta; Fragilariophyceae; Tabellariales; Tabellariaceae. The record is from RNAcentral.